GGAGUCUGGACCGUGUCUCAGUUCCAGUGUGGGGGACCUUCCUCUCAGAACCCCUAGACAUCGUCGCCUCGGUGUGCCGUUACCACGCCGACUAGCUAAUGUCUCGCGAACUCAUCCGUAUCCGACGAAUCUUUCAAACAUGGGUCAUGCGGCCCUCGUUGUUAUGGGAUAUUAGACGACGUUUCCAUCGCUUAUGCCCCGGAUACGGGCAGAUUGUUCACGCGUUACGCACCCUUCCGCCGGUCGCCGGCAUUGUAUUGCUACAACCCGCUGCCCCUCGACUUGCAUGUGUUAAGCCUGCCGCUAGCGUUCAUC
This 315-nucleotide ribosomal RNA is filed under the name uncultured Bacteroidales bacterium. RNAcentral describes it as "partial 16S ribosomal RNA". The record is from RNAcentral. Lineage: Bacteria; Pseudomonadati; Bacteroidota; Bacteroidia; Bacteroidales.